AGGAUCCUUGAUUGCGAAAGUGUUGUGUCCAGACUCAUAACCCUAAUUAAGUAUCGAGGACAGCCCCUUACCCUUCCCUUCCUCAGAGGAGAAGAAGAUACCGUCACAGCAUCUCCGCACGUCCUUUCAUUCUGAAGUUGCAUCGGUGCACUCGGGCCUUUCACAUGCAUGGAUACUGUCCCGUGGCGUUGCAUUCUGUGUGAUCUCAUGUACUCCGGCGAAUUGAGCGACCAGAUUCCGCAAAGUGAGGUAGGCGAGAAGAAGAGAAGAAAGGAGAGGUGAGGUGACGAGACGGGGGAGGUGGGAGUGGCUGUGACUUGUUCUGUGGGAGGGCAUUUGUUGUGUGUGUGUGGCAGGUUAUUCCGCUGUAGCCAUCCCCCUUCUAGGUUUCCGGGCACGCCUCAGAUGCUGCGACCGCUGACCUUCAAUCGUUGCACGCGUUGUGUACUGUUAUAGCCGACUCCUCUCCCAUACCCUCGACGAGCCCUUUUUUUCUCUACUCGCUAGGUUUUCAUGGUCACAGUGUUAUUGUUUCCUUCACAGCUGGUUUUCCCUCUGCGGUUCUUGAGUUUCUCUUUCCUUGGGUUCUUGACAUCGUCUCGAUGCACUUGGCGUUCACUGUCAAGCUCUACAUGCUGUUUUGAAGCCGGCCUUGUCGCGGUAGAAUUUGCGCCCGGGUUUUUAUCAGCCGUCGUCCAAAUGAUUUACACUGCGCUUGACACCUUUUAUGUCACGGACGAGCAGCUUUCGAACUCGCCAUCCCGGAAAGAUGGGAUUGAUGACAAGACUGAAUCAAUCCUGCGUCGGUUUGGUUGUGACCUCGUGCAGGAGAGCGGUAUCUUGUUGAAAUUGCCUCAAGCAGUGAUGGCGACGGGGCAGGUUCUGUUUCAUCGAUUUUAUUGCAAAAAAUCUUUUGCACGAUUUAACGUUAAGAGGGUGGCAGCGAGUUGUGUCUGGCUAGCUGCUAAACUUGAAGAGAGUCCUCGUAAAAUUCACGAAGUCUUGCAAGUCUUCAAUCGCAUGGAGCAGAGACGGGGAAAUUUGCCCCUUGAGUUUUUAGAGUUAUCUUCACAGAAGUACGAGGAAAUGAAAACCGACUUGAUUAGGACAGAGCGUCAUCUGCUGAAGGAGAUGGGAUUUAUUUGUCAUGUAGAACAUCCUCACAAGUUUAUUAUAAGCUACCUGAAGGUUCUUGCUGCUCCUUCAGAGCUGAUGCAAGUUGCGUGGAACCUUGCAAAUGACAGCUUACGGAGCACACUCUGCGUGCGUUUCAAAAGUGAGGUUGUCGCGUGUGGAGUAGUUUAUGCUGCGGCUCGAAAGUUUAAAGUUCCAUUACCUGACAGGUGGUGGGAAGUGUUUGACGCUGAAUGGAGUGAUGUUCAAGUAGUCUGCAAGGUCCUUGCAGAGUUAUACAAACAACCGAAAGGUUAUUACAUUGAAGUUGGAAGAGACCCCAAGUCAUUUGUGUUGACCAGCAAAUCCUGGGAUAUUUCUACCGAGGCACAGGAAGGGCUUAUCAGAACCAUGGUAAAUGGAGCUGUUUCUGUUGAGCAGGUACCGACCAUAGUAAGCUCAGAUGCUGGUGCACAGAAAGGACCAGCUUUCAAAACGCCAGUAGACAAUUUGAAGCCCGAAAUUGUCAAGGAUAGGAGUCAUGAUCUUGACGAAGUACGCAAUCCGAAUGCUAAUGGUGAUUCGAGGGAUGAUCCUGGAGUAGGAAAGGAAAAGCCUUUCAAUCAUAUUGAAGAUGAAGGAAGGGAUAAGAGUAGGGAUAAGGAUAGGUCCAGGUCCAGGCUUCGCGAGUCUCGAGAUAUUGCCCGGGAUCAUGACGCUGAACGAGAACGGGCACGAGUUAGGGAUCGGGACAGGGAAAGGAGAGACAAGGAACGAGAGCGCGAUGAGCGGGAAAGCACAAAGGGGCGGGGCUACAGCCGGAAGGAAAGGGGAAGGGAUAUAGGUCAUGCCCAGAAGAUUCGGUACAAUGCAGAUCCUCGGGAGCGGGAUUUUCAGUUGGUCCGAGAGAAAGAUCGAUCUCAGCUCCAUCGUCGACAAAAUAUUUAAGGAGAUUCAAUUUGGAAAUAGGGUACCUGUUGUGCAUGAGUGGAAGGACUUGGGUUUUUUUAGUUCAAGUUAGGCAUGCAGGCAUGUAUGCUAUUUGAUUAUCAUAGCACAGUUUUCUGCACCGCCGGCCAGUGGAAGUACUUUUCCAGCUGUGCUAUUGUCUCAUAUUAGUAAAUGUUGCUGUUUAGGAUGAACUGAUUUCAGCAGCUCCAAUUGGCAGAAUUGAUCUCACACAGAACAUGGAACUUGGAGAGAGGAGACCUUGCUACAAGCGGAGUUGGAUGGACCCAGUCGGCAAUUUACGUGAUACAACUCCGCUGGUGCUUAGGUCAUUUUUCGGUGUCGGUUUCGCCAUUUUAUAUGUGAGUGAAGACGGGGCACUUAUUUUACUAAUCGCGGAUGUGCAUGUAUGUGCACAACACUGUAGCAGCCCCUCAUCCCUGCAAGAAGCUCCUUCUGUGCUCAAGGGAGAUAGCGCGGGGUAUAUCUACUCUUCACCUAGCUGGUGGUAAGUGCGGGCUAGCGAUCAGUUUUUGCUGCAUUUGACAGCUGCAGCAGGUAUUUUAACAGACUUCAGGCACAGGCUCUAAAUAAGAGUUUUUUUAGUCUAAAAGUUGAGAUUCUCAUGAAUUUUGUGAAGUCAGAUAGCGAUAUUCGGGUUGUGCAGCGUGUUCUCAUCUUUCCUCUGGUUGCCACCUGCUUAUGUGAUUACCCGAGUUGCUAUCCUUGUUAGGAAUUGACUUGUUUGUUGUUGCUUGUUAACGUGUUAUGGUUCUAUUGACCACAAUCUUGGAAGACACUUGCAAGGAGGUUAGUGCCACAGUACUGUUGUUUACAAAAUAUUUGGAGAGGUUUUCUGCGGGUAUGUAAUUAGGUGAAUUUUAUUAAUGUUUCGUAGUUUUAUCGAAUUCAUAGCAUUGACUAUGUUGUAGUGGCUGUCCGGAUGGUCUCUUAACAUGUACUUUAUCAUUAAUAGUCCAAUUAGCUUUGAAUGAAUCCCUAGGGUGAUCAAUGCAUUUGGUUCAGAUUGACUGAGGAUUUUGAGCUCGAAAAUUGGUUGAUACAAACGCCUAGGUUAUGUGCGAAGGGUAUGGCAGCUUUUGACGAUUGGAAGCCAGAGGAACAGGUAUGCUAUGUCAGUUGUAAAUCAUGCUCAGGUAGUUGGUAGUUGCUUAAUAGAAUGAUUCUAUGUGUAACUUUGGUUAGUAGUUAAAAAGAUAUCUUUGAUUCCAAGGCAAAACGUUGGCACUUGUUCUCUAGGUGGGGAAUAUACUGUAGGAUUUACAAGUUUGAUCAUCUGUGCUCUACUUUGCACAUUGUAUGGUUUAAGGUAUAGUUUCAAACCCUGUGUGAUUCUAUGAAUGAUACUUGAUUAAUACUCGAUACUGUAAAAAUACUCGAAUAAUUUGUUAAACUAAUGAUUUGGAAAGAAUUAGAAAUCUAAUGACAAUUUUUCAGGUACUGGCUGCUUCCUGUUGGAUGCAAGGGACAUCAAUAAUGGUAACCGAAUGUGUCAUGCACUAAUGCUGGGUGCCAAUUUUUAGUGUUAGUCAUAGUUGUACGUCAUUGCUCUGCGGACCAUGUCAUGCUCUUCACGGCAGUAUCAGAUGUUACACGGUCGGAUUAUUUCCUGAGUAUGGUUGGUUGUUUGCGUCUUAAGACAUUCUUAUGACCUGAGUUGUGAAGUAUUAGUCCCUGGUUGUAUAGCUAUUUUCUUUUUGCCUUAUCAUCUUUUCAUUUUGUGAAUAGUUUAGUAUUUUAUUUCAUGUUUCUUCUAUUUUUUUUCUUCUCACGUCCAUGUGUACAAAAAGAGCAGUGGCAACAAGCUUUUGCAAUCUCGAAUUGAAGUUAAUAACUACCGGGUUCCCUCUUUCUGUGCUCUUCUGAUUUUUAACAGCAUAUGCCUAAGCAUAUACAGGUUAUAUCAGAGCAUCGUUAUCCUCAAGUUAUCACGUUUUGGCUAGAACCUGCAGUAGUUGAUUAUGUCUACCUGGUGCCAACAUAGAUUUGCUUAGCUUGUUACUACCUUGUUCAGCCUUAAGCUUCAAAUUUCUGAAUGAAUGUUUGAAGUUCAUUACUGACAAAUGAACAAUACAGUUCUAUUGUCGGACAUGAAUUUCAUUUCCGAAGUAAGCAAAAUCCACGCUUUAGUACCGCCGGUUUGCUGGGUACCGAAGCUGCUAUGUGAAUGUCA
Physcomitrium patens is the source of this 4255-nucleotide non-coding RNA. NCBI's taxonomy places the organism in Eukaryota, Viridiplantae, Streptophyta, Bryopsida, Funariales, Funariaceae. The record is from RefSeq and is a predicted model, not a curated record.